This is a transfer RNA of 72 nucleotides. It matches the Rfam family "tRNA". From Rfam's summary of the family: Transfer RNA (tRNA) molecules are approximately 80 nucleotides in length. The record is from Rfam.
GCAUCUAUGGCCAAGUGGUAAGGCGUCUCUUUAGUAAGGAGAAGAUCGUGCGUUCGAACCGCACUAGAUGCA